AAAAGAUGGUUCUGCUAUCACUCUUGGAUGGACCUGCGGUGCAUUAGCUAGUUGGUAAGGUAACGGCUUACCAAGGCAAUGAUGCAUAGCCGAGUUGAGAGACUGAUCGGCCACAUUGGGACUGAGACACGGCCCAAACUCCUACGGGAGGCAGCAGUAGGGAAUCUUCCACAAUGGACGCAAGUCUGAUGGAGCAACGCCGCGUGAGUGAAGAAGGGUUUCGGCUCGUAAAGCUCUGUUGGUAGUGAAGAAAGAUAGAGGUAGUAACUGGCCUUUAUUUGACGGUAAUUACCUAGAAAGUCACGGCUAACUACGUGCCAGCAGCCGCGGUAAUACGUAGGUGGCAAGCGUUGUCCGGAUUUAUUGGGCGUAAAGCGAGUGCAGGCGGUUCAGUAAGUCUGAUGUGAAAGCCUUCGGCUCAACCGGAGAAUUGCAUCAGAAACUGUUGAACUUGAGUGCAGAAGAGGAGAGUGGAACUCCAUGUGUAGCGGUGGAAUGCGUAGAUAUAUGGAAGAACACCAGUGGCGAAGGCGGCUCUCUGGUCUGCAACUGACGCUGAGGCUCGAAAGCAUGGGUAGCGAACAGGAUUAGAUACCCUGGUAGUCCAUGCCGUAAACGAUGAGUGCUAAGUGUUGGGAGGUUUCCGCCUCUCA
Molecule: ribosomal RNA, 653 nt
Filed under: uncultured bacterium
Lineage: Bacteria
Description: bacterial SSU rRNA
Rfam family: Bacterial small subunit ribosomal RNA
Source: RNAcentral